CGAGCCAGAAAGGCACGCAACGAUUUAAGCCAACCGCCAACCCGUUCGAGACGUAUAACGUAUAAAGUUGGUUCGAGGCGUGCUCUCUCUCAAGGAAUAAAGUGAAGAGCACUCUCUCCGGCUCUCCUUGGGUGGUCAGGACAUAGCGAAUUCCAACCCUUCAGAAUUCCAGGAAGGACCGUUACAUAUAUUGCCACAUGAGUGUUCGUUUGAUGCGUUCUCGCCACUUUGCUCGAAAGUCCAGUGGACAUGGUUUGGCCUCGUACAUUCAGUAGUGGAGGCAUUACAAGGUGUGUACAAAUCGAAGUGGCUCGUGUAAGCAUCACGCCGACGACGCAGCCUUGAGAUUCUGCGAAUCGAAUACAAGGCAAUCUGCAUUUCACGAAGAUAACACCUUUGAGCGGCCGUGUAUAUUGUUGCAACUUAACGACAUUGGGAUGCAAGAUUUUGAUCGUUUUCAUCUACGAGCAUUUGUCUUUUUUUAUCCACAAUUUCAAGCAAAUUGUAGAAGAUUAUGGAAAUUUUAGACUUUAUAAUCCUUUUAAGCGAUUGAAGACGAUAAUCAGAUACCUACAUGCGUUGCAUGUGGGAUUCGUGUUGGUCCUGUUUGAAUAGUAAGCUGUAUUACGAGUAUAAAUCGUAUGUUAGAAGGCAAAAAGACAAGAGGAUAAUGCUAGUGUUGAAAACAAAAUGUGUAGCCACGACGUUGCGAAUAAAAGUGAUAAAAAUUCAUGAGGAAAUAUUUAACCAAAUUAGGGAGUCAAAGACCGAUACUUUUCAAAGAUCAGUCAUAAUAUAUUUCGUAAUUUUAUUCGAUAAAUUUUUAUAUAUUUAGAAAUGAGAUCG
This is a long non-coding RNA of Apis cerana (Asiatic honeybee), 846 nucleotides long. RefSeq lists it as uncharacterized. Lineage: Eukaryota; Metazoa; Arthropoda; Insecta; Hymenoptera; Apidae. The record is from RefSeq and is a predicted model, not a curated record.